AUAAAGUUUCCAGGUGUUCGCUAAGACAGGUGUGAAUCCCCGGGCUUAACCUGGGAACUGCGCUUGUGACUGGCGGGCUAGAGUACGGCAGAGGGGGGUGGAAUUCCACGUGUAGCAGUGAAAUGCGUAGAUAUGUGGAGGAACACCGAUGGCGAAGGCAGCCCCCUGGGCCUGUACUGACGCUCAUGCACGAAAGCGUGGGGAGCAAACAGGAUUAGAUACCCUGGUAGUCCACGCCCUAAACGAUGUCAACUAGUCGUUCGGAGCGGUAACGCACUGAGUGACGCAGCUAACGCGUGAAGUUGACCGCCUGGGGAGUACGGCCGCAAGUUAAAACUCAAAGGAAUUGACGGGGACCCGCACAAGCGGUGGAUGAUGUGGAUUAAUUCGAUGCAACCGAAAAACUUACUUCCCUGACAUGCAAGGAUCUUGGGAGAGCCGAGAGUGCCUUCGGAGCUGGAACAGUGCUGAUGGUGUCGUCAGCUCGUGUCGUGAGAUGUGGGUAAAGCCCGAACGACCCAACCCUUGCCACUAAUUGCCAUCAUUCAGUGGGCACUUUAGGGGCUGCCGUACAAACCGGAGAAGUGGGGUGACGCAAGCCUCAUGGCCUUAUGGUAGGGCUCACACGUCAUACAAUGGUCGGACGAGGGUGCAAGCGCGAGUGGAGCCAUCCUUAAGCCGAUCGUAGCCGGAUCGAGUCUGCACUCGACUACGUGAGUCGGAUCGUAGUAUCGCGAUCAGCUGUCGCGUGAUACUUCCGGGCUUUACCACGCCGUCACACAUGGAGUGGUUCACAGAGUAGUAGCUAUCUCGGAGGCGCUACACGUGAGAUCAUGACUGGGUGAGUCGUAC
RNAcentral lists this ribosomal RNA (852 nucleotides) under Thauera linaloolentis. RNAcentral describes it as "bacterial SSU rRNA". It matches the Rfam family "Bacterial small subunit ribosomal RNA", at positions 560 to 1491 of the family's 1533-position model. The record is from RNAcentral. Lineage: Bacteria; Pseudomonadati; Pseudomonadota; Betaproteobacteria; Rhodocyclales; Zoogloeaceae.